Molecule: unclassified non-coding RNA, 282 nt
Filed under: air metagenome
Description: partial contains small subunit ribosomal RNA, internal transcribed spacer 1, and 5.8S ribosomal RNA
Rfam family: Eukaryotic small subunit ribosomal RNA (bases 1-46)
Source: RNAcentral
AAGUCGUAACAAGGUUUCCGUAGGUGAACCUGCGGAAGGAUCAUUAACGAGUUUACUGAGUUGUCGCUGCCCUUUCGGGGGAUGUGCACACUCUUUUCACUCAUCUAUACACCUGUGAACCUAUGCGAAUUCAAUGGGGGAUUAGCGAAAGGAGGACCGAAAGGUCGUUUCGAUUAGCGUUCUCUGUCGAGUUCGAUUUUUUAUAAACUCUUGUAUGUCUUAGAAUGUCUACUUUGCUUAACGCAAUAAAUACAACUUUCAACAACGGAUCUCUUGGCUCUC